RNAcentral lists this ribosomal RNA (1379 nucleotides) under Campylobacter jejuni. RNAcentral describes it as "bacterial SSU rRNA". It matches the Rfam family "Bacterial small subunit ribosomal RNA". Lineage: Bacteria; Pseudomonadati; Campylobacterota; Epsilonproteobacteria; Campylobacterales; Campylobacteraceae. The record is from RNAcentral.
GCCCUACACAAGAGGACAACAGUUGGAAACGACUGCUAAUACUCUAUACUCCUGCUUAACACAAGUUGAGUAGGGAAAGUUUUUCGGUGUAGGAUGAGACUAUAUAGUAUCAGCUAGUUGGUAAGGUAAUGGCUUACCAAGGCUAUGACGCUUAACUGGUCUGAGAGGAUGAUCAGUCACACUGGAACUGAGACACGGUCCAGACUCCUACGGGAGGCAGCAGUAGGGAAUAUUGCGCAAUGGGGGAAACCCUGACGCAGCAACGCCGCGUGGAGGAUGACACUUUUCGGAGCGUAAACUCCUUUUCUUAGGGAAGAAUUCUGACGGUACCUAAGGAAUAAGCACCGGCUAACUCCGUGCCAGCAGCCGCGGUAAUACGGAGGGUGCAAGCGUUACUCGGAAUCACUGGGCGUAAAGGGCGCGUAGGCGGAUUAUCAAGUCUCUUGUGAAAUCUAAUGGCUUAACCAUUAAACUGCUUGGGAAACUGAUAGUCUAGAGUGAGGGAGAGGCAGAUGGAAUUGGUGGUGUAGGGGUAAAAUCCGUAGAUAUCACCAAGAAUACCCAUUGCGAAGGCGAUCUGCUGGAACUCAACUGACGCUAAGGCGCGAAAGCGUGGGGAGCAAACAGGAUUAGAUACCCUGGUAGUCCACGCCCUAAACGAUGUACACUAGUUGUUGGGGUGCUAGUCAUCUCAGUAAUGCAGCUAACGCAUUAAGUGUACCGCCUGGGGAGUACGGUCGCAAGAUUAAAACUCAAAGGAAUAGACGGGGACCCGCACAAGCGGUGGAGCAUGUGGUUUAAUUCGAAGAUACGCGAAGAACCUUACCUGGGCUUGAUAUCCUAAGAACCUUUUAGAGAUAAGAGGGUGCUAGCUUGCUAGAACUUAGAGACAGGUGCUGCACGGCUGUCGUCAGCUCGUGUCGUGAGAUGUUGGGUUAAGUCCCGCAACGAGCGCAACCCACGUAUUUAGUUGCUAACGGUUCGGCCGAGCACUCUAAAUAGACUGCCUUCGUAAGGAGGAGGAAGGUGUGGACGACGUCAAGUCAUCAUGGCCCUUAUGCCCAGGGCGACACACGUGCUACAAUGGCAUAUACAAUGAGACGCAAUACCGCGAGGUGGAGCAAAUCUAUAAAAUAUGUCCCAGUUCGGAUUGUUCUCUGCAACUCGAGAGCAUGAAGCCGGAAUCGCUAGUAAUCGUAGAUCAGCCAUGCUACGGUGAAUACGUUCCCGGGUCUUGUACUCACCGCCCGUCACACCAUGGGAGUUGAUUUCACUCGAAGCCGGAAUACUAAACUAGUUACCGUCCACAGUGGAAUCAGCGACUGGGGUGAAGUCGUAACAAGGUAACCGUAGGAGAACCUGCGGUUGGAUCACCUCCU